CAAAGGGUGCUUCGAGUAUAACAAAAAACAACUUGUCAUCCUUAGGAUGAGGUCAUAUAUUCGAUCAUGUUAGGUAAUGUCACAUAUUCUCUGCAACACGGAUGCAGCUUGACUCGUCCUGAGAUAUUGAAUACUGGUCGAACUAUAUUAUAUGUACUUGUUUGACAUGCAUGUUUUCUUUCGAGUAUGGGGUCGAGUUCUGUCGUUUUCCUUGUUAGAUUUUGUUUCUUGGGUCAGGCCUUUCUCGUCCUAUGUCGGACCUUCGAACUUAACGGAUCUUCUUAGAGCUGAGUCGCUGAUAGGGUGUGAAUCCCACUUCCAACACUAGUUAUGAAAAAGAUUUCGGCAAUACCACCAUUUGCAGGUAAGUCUUAUCUUUGUUUUAAGAAACCAUUUGGAUUCUGAAAUCAACAUAAACAUUAACCUACAAUCUUGAUUUUCAUAGAUCAAAAGUUCUCGAUUUGUUCUGAAUGUAAUAAGUUGAACAACCUAGAUAGCUCCAUCUAUAAUCAUGUUAUAUAUAGUCAAAAUGUAAAUGAAAACAUUGAUGAAUGUACAAGUUGAUAUAUAGGUUUGCUAAAAACUGGUAGACAGAAACGGAAUAUUAUCGUGGAAGCCAUCGUCAAACACUUUUGGAAAGGAAAACAAUGAAUCCAUACAAGGAAUGGGGUCGUAAUUUUGGUCCCCUCCUAAGACAAAAUUGCAAUUAAAAUUCUUGUCUUCAUAUACUUCACAUAUAUCAAAAUUAGUGUUAAUUUCUCUGCAUGUGAUUUUCAACGAUUCAUAUUUGAGAUAAACUUUCCGACGGAGAUAGAAUAUCUCAAUCCAUGUAAGAGGACAAUACAAGCGCUAGUGGACUGUUUAGAUUUUGGUUGGAUUCUUAUUAGACCAUGCUAAUUGUCUUUUAUUUUGAGGAAAAAUAUCAUAUCCACUGAUGCAUCAUUUUGAAAGAAUAAAAAUGAGGAUACAAAUUUGAAAGAACACUAUUCACAACUUAUUUUUACUAUUAAACUUUUUAUUUACAAAUUGAUUUUUAAAUUAUUAUCUAAACUUUUAUAUAUCUAAAAACAAAAUAUUUAUAUUUUAUACUUUCUUGAAAUUAUUAAUACUUUCAUUAAUACAACUAUAAAUUCAUAUAAAUCAGUGUCUAUUCUAUUAGCUAGAAACAAAAUUUAUGUAUAAAAUAAAUAUUUAAGUAAACUAAAAUUAUAGUUGAAUAAAAUUUGUAUGUUUUAAAAUAAAUAUCUUUUAGAAUUAAUAGUAAGUAUUAAUAAUACAAUAUACUUAUAAUAUUUUUACAUAAAAUGAAAAAAAUAAUUGGAGUAAAACACAAAUUGAUUUUGACGUUACCUUCUUUUGAGAGAAAAUUUGAGGAUGAUCAUUAGAAAUGCCUUUGAUAAUUAAAAUUAUAUUGAUUCUUGUUUAUAAUUAUUUAACUCUGAAUUAAAUCAAUUAGAAAAACCUUUGAAGUAUUAGAAGUAAAAUAUUUUAAAAUAUGUAACGUUAUUACACGAUUUUUUAUAUGUACAUACAAAAUUUAUAUUCUAAAAUCUAAUUUCAAAAUAAAAAAAAUUAUGAUCAUAUUUAUUUAUUGAAGAUUCUGAUAAAUAUUUUUUAUAAAAAUUGACCAUGAUUAUUAGUUUAAAAUAGUAUAGAAAAGACGUUUUACUUAAUAUCUAAGCUUAAAACUAUGUUCAGACAACCAAGUCGUCUUGGUUUUAUAGUAAAUGAAUUUCAGCUGGAAUUUUCGUCUUGGGUUUGAUUCACCAACCACAUAGCUGCACUAUUUAGAUGGAUUAAUUGCAUAUCUUGAUGUAAUAUUUCGUGAAAUUAGUUUUUUGGCCUAUUAAACUUUUGAGACGGUUAUUAAAAAAAACUAUGUUCAGGCUUUUUAGGCUUUUUGGGUAUGUUUGGAAAUUCAUCUUUUUUACCCAAAUUCCGUUGAUAGUAUUUAAUUUAAUGAUCUUGUCGAAUCAGAGGGAAAUGACAAAACAAAAUAAGAAGAACAAGUUCGUUAGUGCCGCAGAAUAAAGCUCCUACACGAUCUAAAAGUUUGUCCUCUUUUCUUGAUUAGAAGUAAUCUAAUAUUACAUGAUUUUUAAUGAUAUCUCUGAUUUGCUUUUUACGAUGAUUAUAUUAAUUCUUAAUUAAGAAAACCGAAAUUUGGUCCACCACAAAGCGAGUAGAUUCGUAUGCAAAAUUCACUACCAGUAUCACGAGAUAAGCACGCACAAUGGCACCUCAUCACGACCAUACACCAGCAUGAAACUUUCACGAUGCGUAAUUUUAUGUGGGCAAAAGUUGACAUCUAAUACUAUUGUAGUUCAUAUUGGAAUUAGGUAUUAUUUCUUGAAAUAAUAAAAUAAUAAUAAUUUAUCAUAAUGGGGUGAACCAAAUCUAGUGACAUACAAUGAUUUAGACAAUGACAACUCCGUUUGUCUUCACACAUAUACUUGUGAUUUUCUAUUAAUCAAAUACAUGGCUUAUAUCAAUGUAACACAUCCAGACGAUGGGUCUGACUGUAUAGCACUUUUGGAGUAAAUACCUAGACGAAAAAUUUGUGUUACUCCAAUUCCGUCUAGAAUUUGUGAAAAAUGAAAAAGAAAACUUUACUCUUAAUAUCGUUGAAUUACACUCUCUCUCCUAAAUAUUAUCCUUCCACUCUAUGAAAGAAAGACUCAGAGUAACAUAAAAGUAUCAUACAAUAAUAAAAGGGGAAUACCCUGAGUAGUUAGAGUGUCCACGUCGACAGUAAUAAUCAACCAAUAGGAGAAGAGCUUUUCGCCACGUCAGAUGCUCACUUAUGUCAUUUGGGCUUCGCGUUCACAGGCCCUAAAUCGUUCGGAGUAAACAGCCCGUGAAGCCCACCUCGCGUGAAGUUCUCUUUCCAUUUCCGCGAGGAACUAACCCUAAUUUUGCUUAAUCAAUCCUCGAUCCCCUUUCUCUUCCUCUUCUUCGUUUCGUCGAUCUCCUUUCUCUUCGUCUUCUUAGUUUCCUACGUUUCACGGAUCUUUCAUCGCAAACAAUCAAUUCUCUCCCCACUCCUCUAGACUUUUAAUCUCAUUAAUGGAUGAUUUAUCGCUUUCUUCCUCUGAGAUUCUAUAUACAUCUCUUAAUCGAUGUUUUAUUUGCAUCAAAAAAAUUUCUAGCCUUUCAACCGCUCAUUGCGAUGAAGUUAUCCGGUGUUUCCGACACAGUGAAAACGAACGGCGAAGCGGUGAUCCCCUCCAGUUCGGUCAACCCCGUCGCCCAACCCGGUGUAUCUUCCGGCGAUGUCAAUCCGAUCCCCUCCGGUCUGGUCAAACCCGUCGCUCAAACCGAUGUCUCUUCCGGCGAUGCCAUUGCGAUGAAGUCAAAAGACGUAACGGCAGAAGCGAAGAAUUCGAUCAAACCAAACGGCAAAACUGGUGCCUCCUCCGGUCUCAAACUCGGUGUUAGAGGCAGAGCCUCUGUCUCAUCCGUCGAUAAAGGCAAAGCUAUCGUCUCCGAGAACGUGGGAAAGGUUAUUACCUUCAAAGACAUCACUUUCGGGCCCCAUGAAGACGAGGUGCGGUUCCGGUUGAUCCACUUUUGGGAGGCUUGGAAUGUUCAGACGAAGGUGCUUAUCGGCAUCGAAAUGCUUCUCAUCGACGAAGAGGAGAGUGUUAUCCAGGGCUUCAUCCCCUAUGGAAGGAUUGACACAUAUUUGCGUCACAUGAAAACUGGUGCUACAUACCGACUCAACAAGUUUUUCGGAUCAAAGAGCAAGACUAUCUACCGGGUAGCUGAGUCAAGUGUCACUAUUUGCUUCUCAAGUAACUAUGUCCUCUCUGGACUCGAGGACAGUUCGAUCAGCUUUCCUGUAGAUCGGUUCCGGAUUCAUGGACACAAAGAAUUUGAAGCUGGCUCCGACUUGAGAGGUGAUCUUUAUGAUUAUAUUGGCCACAUCAAACUUGUGAAUGGGAAGGUCCCCGGUGACGGUCUUCUGCUUGAUGAGUCAGAGAUAGCAAAAUCUCGCCGAGUUGAGCUUCACGUUCAAACACAUGAGUAAGUUAUUCUAUAUCUUCCUUCAAAUUCACAUAUGGUUUUAUUUACCACAUGAGUUUGUGUUGUUACAGCGAUCCUGUGCUGAAGCUGUACCUCUGGGACAAGGUUGCGUUUGAGUUCUGUGAAAAGUUUAAAGCAUCUGGUGGCACUGCACGCGUUAUCUUGGUCACCACCUUAAACCCGAAAUGGUUUGGAGGCGUCCUAUCUAUAUCUUCUAUGGCGUCUUCACGGGUAUUUCUGGAUGGUGAUGUCGAAGAAACGCUGUUGUACCUCAGCUGGUAAUGUUUAAGUUUCAUAUGUUGGAAUGCAACUUAUAUUACUCCGCCAUUGAACGUCUGGUUUACAUUCUUUCUAGGUUGGACUCGAACCUA
Molecule: RNA transcript, 4397 nt
Organism: Brassica napus (rape)
Lineage: Eukaryota; Viridiplantae; Streptophyta; Magnoliopsida; Brassicales; Brassicaceae
Exons: 4
Source: RefSeq, a predicted model, not a curated record